RNAcentral lists this small RNA (106 nucleotides) under Notamacropus eugenii (tammar wallaby). RNAcentral's name for it is "7SK RNA (ENSMEUG00000018280.1)". It matches the Rfam family "7SK RNA", at positions 2 to 107 of the family's 331-position model. From Rfam's summary of the family: 7SK was discovered as an abundant small nuclear RNA in the mid-70s but a possible function has only recently been suggested. Two independent studies have found that 7SK RNA binds the CDK9/cyclin T complex (known as elongation factor P-TEFb). Lineage: Eukaryota; Metazoa; Chordata; Mammalia; Diprotodontia; Macropodidae. The record is from RNAcentral.
GAUGUAAAUGCAAUCUGGUUGGGAUAACUCUCACCCCAUCUAUCCCCAGGGCUGAGUCAGCAGAUCUGGUUAACUAGACAGGUGUCCCCAUCCUCCUUCCUGGCUC